Molecule: ribosomal RNA, 493 nt
Filed under: uncultured bacterium
Lineage: Bacteria
Description: partial 16S ribosomal RNA
Rfam family: Bacterial small subunit ribosomal RNA
Source: RNAcentral
GAUGAACGCUGGCGGCGUGCUUAACACAUGCAGGUCGAGCGAAGCACUUAUGAAGAUUCUUCGGAUGAAUCAUUUGUGACUGAGCGGCGGACGGGUGAGUAACGCGUGAGUAACCUGCCUUAUACAGGGGAAUAACAGUUAGAAAUGACUGCUAAUGCCGCAUAAGCGCACAGGACCGCAUGGUCCGGUGUGAAAAACUCCGGUGGUAUGAGAUGGACUCGCGUCUGAUUAGCUGGUUGGUGAGGUAACGGCCCACCAAGGCGACGAUCAGUAGCCGGCCUGAGAGGGUGAACGGCCACAUUGGGACUGAGACACGGCCCAAACUCCUACGGGAGGCAGCAGUGGGGAAUAUUGCACAAUGGGGGAAACCCUGAUGCAGCGACGCCGCGUGAGUGAAGAAGUAUUUCGGUAUGUAAAGCUCUAUCAGCAGGGAAGAAAAUGACGGUACCUGACUAAGAAGCCCCGGCUAACUACGUGCCAGCCGCCGCAGUAA